GCCCAGGUGGUGGAAUUGGUAUACACGUACGUUUAAGGGGCGUAUGGGGUAACCCUUGCGGGUUCAAGUCCCGCCCUGGGCACAA
Molecule: transfer RNA, 85 nt
Filed under: Deltaproteobacteria bacterium CG07_land_8_20_14_0_80_38_7
Lineage: Bacteria; Deltaproteobacteria
Description: tRNA-Leu
Rfam family: tRNA
About the family: Transfer RNA (tRNA) molecules are approximately 80 nucleotides in length. Their secondary structure includes four short double-helical elements and three loops (D, anti-codon, and T loops). Further hydrogen bonds mediate the characteristic L-shaped molecular structure. tRNAs have two regions of fundamental functional importance: the anti-codon, which is responsible for specific mRNA codon recognition, and the 3' end, to which the tRNAs corresponding amino acid is attached (by aminoacyl-tRNA synthetases). tRNAs cope with the degeneracy of the genetic code in two manners: having more than one tRNA (with a specific anti-codon) for a particular amino acid; and 'wobble' base-pairing, i.e. permitting non-standard base-pairing at the 3rd anti-codon position.
Source: RNAcentral